Molecule: unclassified non-coding RNA, 1124 nt
Filed under: Zea mays
Lineage: Eukaryota; Viridiplantae; Streptophyta; Magnoliopsida; Poales; Poaceae
Description: misc RNA Zm00001eb249500
Source: RNAcentral
AGCGAAGCAGCAACAUAUCAAGCUCAGAGCCUCAGAGCGCCAGCCAAGUCUUGCGGUCGCGAAGAGCAACGCAACAAGAUGGUGAAGCUCGCAUUCGGAAGCGUCGGCGACUCCUUCAGCGUCACCUCCAUCAAGGCCUACGUGGCGGAGUUCAUCGCCACCCUCCUCUUCGUCUUCGCCGGCGUGGGUUCCGCCAUCGCCUUCGGGCAACUGACGAAUGGCGGCGCGCUGGACCCUGCGGGACUGGUGGCGAUCGCGGUGGCGCACGCGCUGGCCCUCUUCGUGGGCGUCUCCGUGGCCGCGAACACCUCCGGCGGCCACCUGAACCCCGCCGUGACGUUCGGCCUGGCCGUGGGCGGCCACAUCACCGUCCUCACCGGCCUCUUCUACUGGGUGGCCCAGCUGCUGGGCGCGUCCGUGGCGUGCCUGCUCCUCAGGUUCGUGACCCACGGCAAGGCCAUCCCGACCCACGGCGUCUCCGGCGGCACCACCGAGCUGGAGGGCGUCGUGUUCGAGAUCGUCAUCACCUUCGCGCUCGUCUACACCGUGUACGCCACCGCCGCCGACCCCAAGAAGGGCUCCCUCGGCACCAUCGCGCCCAUCGCCAUCGGCUUCAUCGUCGGCGCCAACAUCCUCGCCGCGGGGCCCUUCAGCGGCGGCUCCAUGAACCCCGCCCGCUCCUUCGGCCCCGCCGUCGCCGCGGCCGACUUCGCCGGCAACUGGGUCUACUGGGUCGGCCCGCUCAUCGGCGGCGGACUCGCUGGCCUCGUCUACGGCGACGUCUUCAUCGGCGGCUCCUACCAGCAGGUCGCCGACCAGGACUACGCCUAAGUAGUGUGCUCCGUUCGUCUGGAUUCAGCUCAUCCAACGCAGGCGCGCGUUUCGAUCGGCGUCGUCAUUUGCUUUGCUCUUCAUUUCAUCACGUUAUGUAACGUGCCAAUGAUGUGUGUCGUCCUGGUCUGUUCCAUUCCGUCCUUGUAUUCAUUUCCCUUCUUUUUUCGGGGUAAAAUCGAUGUAAAGAUCUCAUCCGAUCUGCCGUUUUCGAUCGCCUUGGAGUGGGAAAAAACAGGUGAUUUUCGUUUCGACUUCGUUUAUGCAUGGAAUUCUUGGCUCCUUUUACGGUU